Molecule: ribosomal RNA, 274 nt
Filed under: Paramoeba aestuarina
Lineage: Eukaryota; Discosea; Flabellinia; Dactylopodida; Paramoebidae
Description: partial Bacterial large subunit ribosomal RNA
Rfam family: Bacterial large subunit ribosomal RNA
Source: RNAcentral
AUGCUGACAUGAGUAGCGAUAAAGAGGGUGAGAUGCCCUCUCGCCGAAAGACCAAGGGUUCCUGCUCAACGCUAAUCGGAGCAGGGUAAGCCGGCCCCUAAGACGAGCCCGAAGGGGGUAGUCGAUGGGAACCACGUUAAUAUUCGUGGGCCUGGUGGUAGUGACGGAUCUCGUGUGUUGUAUCUCCUUACUGGAUUGGAGGUGCAGCGAAGAGGUUCCAGGAAAUAGCUCCACCGUAUAGACCGUACCCGAAACCGACACAGGUGGUCAGGUA